This 663-nucleotide ribosomal RNA is filed under the name uncultured bacterium. RNAcentral describes it as "bacterial SSU rRNA". It matches the Rfam family "Bacterial small subunit ribosomal RNA", at positions 841 to 1504 of the family's 1533-position model. The record is from RNAcentral.
CGGUGUCGUAGCUAACGCGUUAAGUGUUCCGCCUGGGGAGUACGCACGCAAGUGUGAAACUCAAAGGAAUUGACGGGGGCCCGCACAAGCGGUGGAGUAUGUGGUUUAAUUCGAUGCAACGCGAAGAACCUUACCAGGGUUUGACAUCCUGCGAACCUCUUAGAAAUUUGAGGGUGCCUUCGGGAAUGCAGUGACAGGUGGUGCAUGGCUGUCGUCAGCUCGUGUCGUGAGAUGUUGGGUUAAGUCCCGCAACGAGCGCAACCCACGUUUUUAGUUGCCAGCAUUUAGUUGGGCACUCUAGAAAGACCGCCGGUGAUAAACCGGAGGAAGGUGUGGAUGACGUCAAGUCAUCAUGCCCCUUACACCCUGGGCUACACACGUACUACAAUGCUACGGACAAAGGGCAGCAAACUCGCGAGAGCUAGCAAAUCCCAUAAACCGUGGCUCAGUUCAGAUCGUAGGCUGCAACUCGCCUACGUGAAGUAGGAAUCGCUAGUAAUCGCAGGUCAGCAUACUGCGGUGAAUACGUUCCCGGGCCUUGUACACACCGCCCGUCACACCAUGGAAGUUGGCCAUGCCCGAAGUCGUUACUCCAACCCUUGUGGAGGAGGACGCCGAAGGUGGGGCUAAUGACUGGGGUGAAGUCGUAACAAGGUAGCCGUA